GAGAGCAACAGAGGGGCGAGGAAAAUCAGCUAUGAGGAAGUUGUGGCUUCAUUUGAAAAAGGAAAAUUGUUGACUGAACUGUAAAUGGAUACUGUAAGCGAACUGAAAGUUUCCUGCGUGUGGACUUUCCCCUCUGUGAUAACACGAUAGGCGGUGGCGAUAAGGGAUUUGCUCGUAUCGAUUACGACGACGCAGGACAAGAUUCUUCUUUUGCAACAGGCACCAAAUCUCGUAGAUCAAUAAACUUUGGUCAAGACUCCAUCAAAACAUCCCAGCCAUUUGCUGCAGCAAAGAGGUUACCAUGGUGACCCCCACACUCCGGGGACAUAUGUAACAAAUGUGGCCGGAGGGCUGGCAUGCACGGCUGUCCAGGUGACGGCCACCGUGGAGACAGAGGCCCUGACCGGUCUUGGCCCACUCUCUUACACCGACUGUGCCAACUUACCGUCAACCGGACACUAAACGGCGGCGACACGCAACGGCGCCGUCCUCCGCCGCUGCUGACCGCGGGCGCACUUGUGUUCAAACCUAAGAAAAAGAUGAACGAAAAGGGUGAACGGCCUAUUUGAGGCGAGGAGACUGGAAAUCAGAUUUGCCACUCUCAGAUAUAACCACAUCAGUUAAAAGACUGUUGAAAUAUCUGACCCGGCAUCAGUGGUGUAGCGGAGGGGGUGUUUUUUUUUUUUGUUUUUUUUCCCUUUGCUGGUGGGCUAUAAGCAACGCUGAGGAGAGAUUUGCAGAGACAGCCCAUAACAGCUCCCUUGGAACCAAUGACUCAGAUAUGCAGAUGUGUUUACUUCCCUUCUGUUUCCCACCUCAACCAGCACACAAAAGGCAGGGGGAAUGAAAGUGCCUGAUAAUGUCUUUAAGUGUUUCAUUUAUAUAUUUAUAUGCCGUUAUAAAGAACUCAUUUUUUACAAAAACUUAGACAAGCACUUCAAAUGGGCUCUUUGCCUCUUCCCUCUAUUCCCUCCCUCCCUUCUCAGGGUAUUCAUCUUUUGUCUAAUGCGCAGCACUGCUCUCUGUUAGUUUCUUUCUGACACCAUGCCAGCAGAGUCAUCUGCAAAGGGACUCAUGUAGGGAUUAAAACCCAUCAACAGCUCCCCUUUAACAGAGAGGUAGAAAAAAAAAUGUCGAAAAAUAAAAUACAAAAAAAAAAUAUGCAUAUAUAUAAUAAAUAAAAUAAAAUAAAAUAAAAAAAACUCCAGACAGUUUGGAGAAAACUUGCAGAAAGAGAAUGCAGAUUGUCACCUGACCCUGAGGCAAGGCAGCCCUAAAUAUAAUAAAGAGAAGACAACAGAAGAAGACGAGGCGACACGACACGGGUAAUGUGUUUUCUCUGCUGGUGUCGUCUGGCAGAUCUCGGAUGAUUGAGUGCUGAUGCCUGCCUGGGCCGCUUCAGAGAAGAUCGUCUACCCCCCUCCCUCAGCUCGCGCACACAUGCACACACGUGCGCAGCCUUUCCCGUGACACACAUGUGCACGCACACACGCUCAGAUUUCCUGUCGUCGAAGUGACAAAAACAUCAAAGCGUAUUAACUGUCAUCAUCUCAGCAUCUCUUCAUCUCUCUUUUUGGUCGAGGGAAUAUUUCAAGGUAACGCUUUAUUAUUGUGGCUUCUGUGCGUGUGUGUGUGUGUGUGUGCGUGCGCCUGUACUUGCGUGUGGUUUUCUCCACGGUGGAUGUGUGUCUUAAUUAUAACAGGGUUUAGUGAAUUAGGCCAGGAUGUGUAAUAGACUCAAAUUUGCAUAAUCUCCGUUGAAUAAACCUCGGUGACAAACAUGCGAGCAGAAAAUCAUACCUACUUACUGUAACUGCGUGACUUCAACAAAAAAAAAAGAAAAAAAAUUAAAAACUGUAGAAAGGCGUGCUCGUGACAGUAAUCUAUAGUGUGUACUUACUUAGCCCGUAUUAAUCUCUGUACAUUUUUAUAAUCACCGCGCAUUGUGAAAUUGUCGGCGGCAGAUACGGACAAACAGGUGCUGGAUAUGGAGGAAGUUGAUUGGCCUGAUUCCAUGAUCCAUUUUCCCAAGCCUUCCACACCCCUGCAGCUGUCCUCCAGAAUAUGAGAACCAUGUGUGUGCAUGCAUCCGUGUGUGUGUGUGUGUGUAUUUGCAGCGCAUGCUUGUGGUUAUGACAAAUUCACUCCUCGUUGGUUGCCAAUAAACAAGACAAUGAUCUUCAUUGACAAAGACGAAUAAAAAACGAAAUUCUGGACAAGCAAAUAAAAGUAA
Molecule: long non-coding RNA, 2233 nt
Organism: Mugil cephalus (flathead mullet)
Lineage: Eukaryota; Metazoa; Chordata; Actinopteri; Mugiliformes; Mugilidae
Exons: 3
Source: RefSeq, a predicted model, not a curated record